AACGAACGCUGGCGGCAUGCCUAACACAUGCAAGUCGAACGAGACCUUCGGGUCUAGUGGCGCACGGGUGCGUAACGCGUGGGAAGUCUGCCCUUGGGUUCGGAAUAACAGUUGGAAACGACUGCUAAUACCGGAUGAUGUCUUCGGACCAAAGAUUUAUCGCCCACGGGAUGAGCCCGCGUAGGAUUAGCUUGUUGGUGAGGUAAAGGCUCACCAAGGCGACGAUCCUUAGCUGGUCUGAGAGGAUGAUCAGCCACACUGGGACUGAGACACGGCCCAGACUCCUACGGGA
RNAcentral lists this ribosomal RNA (292 nucleotides) under uncultured bacterium. RNAcentral describes it as "partial 16S ribosomal RNA". It matches the Rfam family "Bacterial small subunit ribosomal RNA", at positions 29 to 346 of the family's 1533-position model. The record is from RNAcentral.